RNAcentral lists this ribosomal RNA (497 nucleotides) under uncultured bacterium. RNAcentral's name for it is "partial 16S ribosomal RNA". It matches the Rfam family "Bacterial small subunit ribosomal RNA", at positions 28 to 507 of the family's 1533-position model. The record is from RNAcentral.
GACGAACGCUGGCGGCGUGCCUAAUACAUGCAAGUUGAGCGCUGAAGGUUGGUACUUGUACCAACUGGAUGAGCAGCGAACGGGUGAGUAACGCGUGGGGAAUCUGCCUUUGAGCGGGGGACAACAUUUGGAAACGAAUGCUAAUACCGCAUAAAAACUUUAAACACAAGUUUUAAGUUUGAAAGAUGCAAUUGCAUCACUCAAAGAUGAUCCCGCGUUGUAUUAGCUAGUUGGUGAGGUAAAGGCUCACCAAGGCGAUGAUACAUAGCCGACCUGAGAGGGUGAUCGGCCACAUUGGGACUGAGACACGGCCCAAACUCCUACGGGAGGCAGCAGUGGGGAAUCUUCGGCAAUGGACGAAAGUCUGACCGAGCAACGCCGCGUGAGUGAAGAAGGGUUUCGGAUCGUAAAACUCUGUUGGUAGAGAAGAACGUUGGUGAGAGUGGGAAGCUCAUCAAGUGACGGUAACUACCCAGAAAGGGACGGCUAACUACGUG